RNAcentral lists this long non-coding RNA (229 nucleotides) under Polistes fuscatus (common paper wasp). RNAcentral's name for it is "uncharacterized LOC122518185". The record is from RNAcentral. Lineage: Eukaryota; Metazoa; Arthropoda; Insecta; Hymenoptera; Vespidae.
UUCAAGCUUUUGGCAUACUCGUGGUGGUGGACAACAACGAUUAGUCCAAAUUAUGAGCUCCAAGUUGAAUCGUUCCGAUAAACAGGAAUCCGAACUUCAACCUAAUUCACAAUUGGCUGUAUUAACUCGUCAAGAAUUAUGGGAGGUGCAGGACGCUUCUCAGCAAACAACAGACAACGCCAAAGAAAAGGAAAAGGAAGUUGAGAUAGAGGAGGAAAAAGAAGAAAAA